AAUAUUGGACAAUGGGGGCAACCCUGAUCCAGCCAUGCCGCGUGUGUGAAGAAGGCUUUCGGGUUGUAAAGCACUUUCAGUGAGGAGGAAAUGCCUGGGGCGAAUAGCUUCGGGUUUUGACGUUACUCACAGAAGAAGCACCGGCUAACUCCGUGCCAGCAGCCGCGGUAAUACGGAGGGUGCAAGCGUUAAUCGGAAUUACUGGGCGUAAAGCGCGCGUAGGCGGUCUGGUCAGUUGGGUGUGAAAGCCCCGGGCUUAACCUGGGAACUGCAUUCAAUACUGCCAGACUGGAGUAUGGGAGAGGGUAGUGGAAUUCCACGUGUAGCGGUGAAAUGCGUAGAUAUGUGGAGGAACACCCGUGGCGAAGGCGACUGCCUGGCCCAAUACUGACGCUGAGGUGCGAAAGCGUGGGUAGCGAACAGGAUUAGAUACCCUGGUAGUCCACGCCGUA
Molecule: ribosomal RNA, 452 nt
Filed under: uncultured marine bacterium
Lineage: Bacteria
Description: bacterial SSU rRNA
Rfam family: Bacterial small subunit ribosomal RNA
Source: RNAcentral